Molecule: long non-coding RNA, 7550 nt
Organism: Mobula hypostoma (lesser devil ray)
Lineage: Eukaryota; Metazoa; Chordata; Chondrichthyes; Myliobatiformes; Myliobatidae
Exons: 3
Source: RefSeq, a predicted model, not a curated record
CUCUCCCUGAUGUCGGGUCCAAGUUCACUCGCCGGCUGAGCUCGAAGAAAUAAACGGGUGAAAAGAUAAGUAACGACUUUUUUGUGCUGUCGUUAUUUGAUCCAGCAAAGUUACGUUUACAUUUGGUGCCGUGACUCGGAUCCCCACAUAGGGAACGUCUCUCUGGGCUGAGUAAGUGACAGGGGGCUUGAAUCGAACACAAUGAGUAGCAGGCGCCCCGAGGUAGUUUACCUCUGGCUACUCCUUGUGUCCGACCGAGCCUUCUUGCUCCUCGCCCAUUGGGACUGGUACCUUGACAGGAUCGGACGACCCGUUUUGAUUACAGAAUUUAAGGUAAACAGUUGUCUCUUCUACAUUGCUGCGGUGACAGGAAAUGGCCGGUUGAAAAUUGACGAUUCGGAAAAGGGGUUGCGCAUGUCUCACGAUAUGGCCGGUUGAAAUUUGUAAAUAAUACGAGACUGGCAGCCCGGUUAAAUUCUCACCUUGGCAGCAGAAAUAUGGCCGGUUGAAAUUUAAUGAGACAAGUUCAGGAUAAAGGAGGUAAGGCCUCCAGAGUACGUGAGAGUUGUUUUUUUUUUCGCGAGUAUUGACGGAAAAUAGGCUAGCAGUUUCUGUGAGAAUUAAGGGCUGCGGGUGACAUUGGGUCUUCUGUAUUGUUCCUAAGGAAAGAAUCGGGACUGGGGACCCCGGUCAGGACAGACGGCCACCGCUACCUGACGGAUUUGACCGUAUCAGCUGCCUCCUGAUAAUACGGCCGGUUGAAAUUGCUUUCGGGGGAGGCAGGCUGGCUAAAUUUCUCACAAGUGGCUUGUGCCUAGGCGCUUGCGUUGUGUAUUUUGUGUCUAUACGCUGUCUGUCUCGUUGCUUUGUCUGUGUUUCGUGUAUUUGUGAUUUUGGCUACUUGCUUUACUUUGUACAGCACUUUGGUCAACGUGGUUGUUUUUAAAUGUGCUAUAUACUUGACUGAUAAUUAAGAACAACUGAUAAGGGCAAUAAUGGGACAGGCCCUUGAUACAGCUAUGUGUGAACGAAUACCAGAUAAGAAAGGGACUUUCGGAUGUUAAGUGCAGCGCUAACAAAGAAACUAGAGAAACAGUGUGGCCACCAGGAGAAACAAGCAGUAAAUUUAUUUUGUGAAAAGAAUUGCGAUAAAAAGUGGAAAUGAUUGAUUAAAGAAUGGAAAGGUAGAGCCAAUUCUAAAUGGAAUGGUACCUUACUGGCCAGCUGGAGGAAUAAUGCAUGUGAUAAAGGGAUAGAGGUAUGUACGGCAGAAGGGACUCCCAAGAGUUGGGAGACACUGCAGGCGGAGUGGAGUGCGAAUGGGUAGAAGGGAGAAGAAAGAGAGAACGAGAAACAAAGAAAACAGGCAAAAGCAGAUAUGGACAGACAGGAAGGUUUAAAAUUGGCAGUGCCGCGCGCGAAGAUCUAGGGCCAAUACGGGAUCCCGAACCCAUAUCUGGCUUACCGACCCUGUUUAAGGACAGUGACCGCGAUGAGGAUUGGGCAUCCACCUUAUCCCCCACCUUACCAGAGGCCGAGUGCACCCAGUGCUUCCGAACCCCAAUCCUCCCAGUACCUAGAGACGGUGGCCGCUUGGGCAAAACAGCAGCGGGUGAGAAGGGAAGGCUCUCUAUACCCUGAGAUCCAGAAAGGGAAUACCAGGGAUUAUUCCGAGACUGAGGGAAGAAUCCAAUAAAACCCCAGAGUUAAGGGCUCCACAGAGACAAGUGCCUACCCAAAUGCUGCCCAGUCCACGAGCAGCUGAAGGACAGCCCUGUCACUCUUGUAUGCAGCCUGGACCUCAAGAGAUGGUAACGAUCAUGAAUCAGGCCCCCGAUGGAAAAGAACCACCAGCACAGUUUGCUUGGUAUGUCCGCAGUACUAUACAAAUGUAUAAUGCGACCCCGCAAGAUUUAUUUGGUCUUUGCUGCACGACUUUCUCAUCUGAGGAGGGGCGGUAAUGGAAGGCAGAAUUAAGACAGCAAAUUUAUCAGGAGUUACAGGCGGGAAGGCAUAAUGAGAAUGAACAGACAGACCGGAUUAUUCAAGCCUUGGAGACGGCUCUCCAGCAACCUGUAAAUAUCACUAAAGUGUUUGAAUGCAAACCUAAGCCUGGGAAAUCAGGACCAGGCUACUGGGAGCGAGUUAUGGCCUGCUACAGCACCUUCGCAGGAGACCUAGCCUUUAAUAAUGGGAAUCCGUUCCCCCAGUUUAAGUGCUUACCAACUAAGUUAGCCAACAGGAUUAAAACUAAUAAUAUGUUUUGGCCUGAUAAUGACCGAAAUCGAAUGCAACGAGCUUUGAGAUAUUACUGGGACCUAGCAUUCCAAUCCCGAUCAACCCCGGAGGGAACUAACAUUAAAGGUGAAUAUGUUCAGCAGGAAGAAGGAUGCUUCCUACCGUGAGUACCACCCCUCAGGAAGAGCCCAAUAUAAUAUUGCAAGAUGCUGCCAUUCUAAUUCCCUUUAUGAUGGUAUAGGAAAAGGGAUACCGGCUAUCAGACGCUACAAUCACUCUGGGUUCGAAAGCACGGAACGUACAUAUUCACGUACCCAGCCACUGCAGGUGAAAUUCCAGGGGACCCAGUGUGAGGUUUAAUUUACAGUCACCACCAGGCUGGGGUGUAAUCUAGCAGAGUGAGACUUGCUCUGUCCGUUGGAAAUCGAGAUUCUAUGCACGGACAAGGGUAUCACCCUGGGACUAGCGAAACAACCGACCGCCCAGUGGUGGGCACUUAAUUUGGACUCCACUUCGUUUGAACCCUCUCUGCCAGAGACAGACCCUAAUGUGACUCUGUGCUAUGACCCUACAGGGUGCUCCACUGAGGAAAGCCAGUAUUAUGCACCCUCGAUGGACAGAAGUUGCCAGUCACGGUGUUUGGAGAGGUUAAAGGGGGCAGCGCAUUACUGGCCGAAGUUCCGGAUUUCCUUUGGCAACAGACAGGACCGGUGGUUCCCCAUACCACAGUUAGGCUUUGCCCUGGGUCCAAGCCAAACAGCCUGGGUUUCUUGCUUACACCCUGAUGAAACAAACCUCCAGCACCGAGAGAGACUGGCAAGACUUGGCCGCGGGCCAACUCCAAUACUGGAAGGAGUCAAAGGUGAAGACGGGACAUCUGGUAAGACACUCUUUUAAUAUUGCCCGAACCCAAGACGUUGUACCCCAUCUCUGGGCAAUUUCAGGCCAUGAAGUCGGUCGCACCAACUGCACCCCCUCCCCCGACAUCACCGUGAAAGAAGAACAGACUCUCCCACCCCUUCCGCAAUACCCCCUCAAGCCCGAGGCAACGUUUUAUGAGGACGGAAGCUCUUUUGUGGAUCCAGCAGGUAAACAAUGUUCUGGCUAUGCGAUAAGUGACGACAGUGAAGGAAUUGAGCAAGUCUCCUUUGCAGCGACUGUCUCUGCCUAGAAAGCUGAGCUACUUGCUCUGACUCAUGCCUGAAUCCUAGCAAGACUACUCAGUUCUGAUUUUGAAGAAUCCACCACAGAACCAAUUCUUUGUAGAAGACCUGAAAAAAAACGCAAUCAUAAAUGAAGAUGACUUUGAAGAGGGAGUCCACAACUAUUUGGAACAAAAUAAAAAGGGCCUGUACGAGGGCUUCAGUGGAGGAGCCAAAAAUACAAGCCUAAGCUGGAGUCCUCUAUGAUUAAAUUUUCGAAUUUUAAAAUAAAAGGCCUGUGGAAAAGAAAUCUCAAACAGAUUAAUGUGCUGACUUUUACGUAGACUCCCGCUAUGCCCUGACUACAGAACUCUGGGGAUUCCUGACUUCCUCUGCGCCCCCCCCCCCCAUUAGUAAUGCUACCUUUGUAAACAACAUACUCACCGCUCUACAGCUACCUCGAGUUUUGGCUAUUAUUAGAUGUGCAGCCCAUACUGGGGAAUCUGAUGAGAUAUUUAAGGGUAAUGCUCGGGCUGGUGCAGCAGCAAAACAGACAGCCUUGGACCCCACACUUUUAGUCCCCUCGGGAGCCUAACAAGUUUUUAUUAGACAAAAACCUAAGGACUGGUAUGCCAGACAUGGGGGAAAAUACAUAAAUUCCAGGGGGACGCCCCUUAAGGAGAGCACAAACUAUGGUCCCAAAUGGAUUGCCACCUUGAACCUCAGACCAAUUUAUGGGUGACCCCUGCAGGACAGGUUUGUGUUUCCUCUGUGUUCUUAUCUGUCUUGAUAGAUUAUGUAAAUAAUUGUACACACUUGGGCAAGGAGGGAAUGGUUAAUAUCUUGGUGGCGGUGGCACCCUGAUUUCCAGCAAGCAGUUGAAAAGCGAGCCACAGCAUGUGAAAGAAACGAAUGCUGGAAAGGGAAUGCCUUGUGUUUCUGGAACUACCCCCUUGCCUGGUGGACCUUUUUCGUGUCUGCAGCUUGAUUUUGUAGAACACCUAGAGUACAUUGUUGUAAAUAUCGCUUGGUAAUAGUAGAUGUAUUUAGCAGAUAGGGGCUAUACCCACUACUGAUAAUACUGUUGUAAAAAUAUUAUUAAAAGAAGUGAUUCCCCGUUAUGGACUCCCGGAAAUGAUAAGCUCAGACAAUGGACUGCACUUUGUAGCCAAAAUAAAUGAGGAAAUCUGCAAGGAACUGGCUAUAAAGCAACAGUUCCACUGCACCCACCACCCAAAGGCAGCUGGUAUAGUAGAAAGAGCCAACAGUAUCUUGAAAGAUAAGUUGACCAAACUUACCCAGGAGACUGGACUGACCUGGUUAAAAGUUCUACCCUUGGCCUUGUUCCACAUGAGAAUCACACCCUCAGUUAAAACGGAGUUAUCCCAAGUCAAGAUUAUCUACGGGAAGCUCAUGUGAACCCCAUAGGGGUCGGAACUGGCCCAACCUCCCCUUCCUGAAAGGAUGGACAUGCAUACCCUAGGGGAGGAGAUGGGAAAAUACCUAUGCAAGUUAACUAAAACUCUCCAAAGCUUCUAUUCACAGGUAUGACAGGCCAAUCGAGAGGAUGACACCCAGCCUAAGGGUGACUACCCCACCAUCGAGCCUGGAGAUUUUGUCCUGAUUAAGAACUGGGAUCGUAAGAAGUGGGAACCAAGGUGAAAAGGACCGUACCAAGUGCUACUGACAGCACCUACUGCAGUGAAGGUGGAAGGGCAGCUCCAGUGGAAACAUCGAACGGACUGUAAACACAUUACUGGUGGAAAUGAUAAGGACUGAAAAAUGCAGUGGUUAAUGAUGAUUUUAAUGACCCUGAGGGGACCUGCCCCUGCUUCGGGAGGCCCCCAUGUUAACACUUUUCUGUCCCUCCGACACUAAGCAAGUAGAACGGGGAGCAUUUUGGGUACGUUCUGUAUCAUGUUGCAGAAGCAACAAUCUGUUCUGAAAAGUUAUCAUUUAAUGAUAAAAAGGAGGGAAUGAUAAAGUUUAAGGGAAUGGGGGAUUCUCAGAUUCCUGUAAACAAUGGAUUAAGUACUGACUAUGUCUGUGACUGCAGUGUGUUUGAAUAAUGUCUCACAGCUGCCUUCUUUGGAGCAUGAUGAUUAAAGUUCGCCCAGAUCCACAUAAGAUGUCUCUGGGCUUUUCACACCUUUUGAUUUUGAGAAAAAGCAGUACCUGAUGGAAAUUAGACAGAACAUUCCUAUCUUAAUUAAAGCAUAAAUUUGACGGAUGUUCUUAUCUUUGUAAUUAAGUUGUGGCUCCAGCAAACCAGGUAGGACAUUCUUUUCUUUAAUUAAGGUGGCUGGAGUGUCUAACAAAUUGAUUGUACUUUUGUAUCAAUAGUCCAUUGACUUGGCCGGAAUAGUUAUCAAACUGAUUGUUCUUUGCAUCAAUAGUCCAUUGACUUGACCGGAACGGUUAUCAAACUGAUUGUUCUUUUGUAUCGGUGGCCUUAUAACUUCCGACAAUUCUGACAUCAGGCAGUGAACUUGUAGAACCGCCGGGGAGAUGACAUAUCGGACACUGGCUUUCUCCUGUGCCAAGGUGCAGCCAGUCCUGCUGACUUCCACCAGAUUAUGAAUGUGUCGUUUGAGGCUACAGUUGUUUUGAUCAUUUGCUUCUCUUUCACCAAGUCUGGCCCCAGAGAAGUAGGAAUGAAAAGUGGGUGUUCUAAGGAGGAAUGUAGGGCCAGAGAGAUGGCAUCUGCCGUUGACCUGUUGCUCCGGUAGUCGCAUUGCAAAUGGUCAAGGAUUUACGAAAUAUGUAUCAGAACUUAAGGAAAAACCUCAGAUUUUAUGUAUACAGGAAAUAUGGUUGAAACCCAGGGUAAAUGUGCAGAACUCCAUCAACAAAUAGAAGUACUCAAUAAGAACAACUGUCAGUUGGAAAGAGAUUGGACAAAACAGUACUGCAUUUAAAGGAGACGGUUUCUGAAAAAGAUGCUUGUUGUCAAAAAUUCAGUGACAUGGAAAACAGAUUUUAAAAAGGAGGAGCUUAUUCCACAGUUACAAAAGGAAAAAAGAGUUUGUUGCAAAGUGAAUUAUCAACAUUCAGAUUAAAAAAUGAAAACAUGGAAACAAAUGAGGAAGAAUUUCAAGAUCUCAGUAAACAACAACAGGCUUUGAUUCAAGAAAAGGAAAACUUGGAAAUAGCAGAUAGACUUGGAAAGCAGCAAUUUUUAAAUGUUGAGCAUGCAAUAAUGAAUAUUCUCAAACAAGAAGCUUUUAGUUUCACAAAUGAUUCAGAUGGAAGUGAAUUAUCUACAUUCAGAGUAUAAAAUGAAAACAUGGAAACAAAUGAGGAAGAACUUCAAGAUCUCAGUAAACAACUACAGGCUAUGAUUCAAGAAAAGAACUUGGAAAUAGCAGAUAGACUUGACAAAUAGCAAUUUUAAAAGUUAAGCAUACGAUAAUUAAUAUUCUUGAAGAAGAUUUUAGUCUUACAAAUGAUGCAGAUGAAAUCAAUGUAAUUGAGGUAAUGCAAUUACUUAAAAUCCAUGUGACAAAAAUUAGGCAAGAAAAGCAGUUUGUGGCACUGCUAUCUAAUGAGCACAUACAGCAUUCACAAGAGGAAUUGCGAUUACAGAGUGAUGCAAAUAGAGAUACGCAGGCUGAACUAGGUUGUCUAAAGUAGAGUACUCCAGGACGUAUUUGGUUGAAAUCAGAACACCACAAGUCUGGCAGGUGGCGGUAAUGCACCUUAAAGCUGGUUUGCCAACCACCAUAAAACAACACAGGAAGAAGAAGAAGAAGAAGAAGAGAGGGUGUAAGAGUAGAGGGAAACAGAGUAGGAAGGCUUUGGCUCAACGGGGCUUCGGCGUUAACAGGUCGAGGCAAGGUAGAUUGCCUGUGUAGAAUAGACAAGGAGGUAUGUGUGUGAGGCCGGUGUAUUGUGCUCAGUGUCAGAUGUGGGAAGUCCUGGAGACUCCAAGCCUCCCGGACGGCCACAUUUGCGCCAGGUGAGUUGAGCUGCAGCUCCUUAGGGACUGUAUUAGAGAACUGGAGAUGCAGCUCAAUGAUCUUCAUCUGGCCAGGGAGAGUGGGGAGGUGAUAGACAGGAGCUGCAGGCAGGUAGUCACACCAGGGCCUGGGGAGACAGAUAAGUGGGUAACACUCAGGAGAGGGAAGGGCAGGAGUCAGAUACUGGAGAGCACCCCUGUGGCUGUACCCC